This 1035-nucleotide ribosomal RNA is filed under the name Triticum aestivum (bread wheat). Its description in RNAcentral is "partial small subunit ribosomal RNA". The record is from RNAcentral. Lineage: Eukaryota; Viridiplantae; Streptophyta; Magnoliopsida; Poales; Poaceae.
AUGGAGUCGAAUGAUGCAACUUUCUUUGAGGACAUAUUUCCUAUGAAGGAUAUGUCGAGUUCAUCAAAUCAGGAGAUACCUACUCCAUCUAGUGAGGAAUUCACUGUAAUUCCUGAACCCACCAUUGCGAUGGAACACGUUGAGAAUCCUGUUGAGGGUGACAAUGAAACUCUUGUGAGGAGUAAGAGACAGAGGACUGCAAAGUCCUUUGGUGAUGAUUUCAUUGUGUACCUCGUGGAUGACACACCCAGGACUAUUUCAGAAGCCUAUGCAUCUCCUGAUGCUGACUACUGGAAGGAAGUUGUACGUAGCGAGAUGGAUUCCAUCUUAGCUAAUGGUACCUGGGAGAUCACUGACCGUCCUUAUGGGUGCAAACUUGUAAGAUGUAAGUGGGUGUUCAAGAAGAAGCUUAGACCUAAUGAUACGAUUGAAAAGUACAAGGCGCGGCUUGUGGCCAAGGGUUAUACCCAGAAAGAAGGUGAAGACUUCUUUGAUACUUACUCACCCGUGGCUAGACUGACCACAAUUCGGGUGCUACUAUCACUGGCUGCCUCACAUGGUCUUCUCGUUCAUCAAAUGGACGUUAAUACAUGUUUCCUCAAUGGAGAGUUGAAGGAGGAAAUUUACAUGGAUCAGCCAGAUGGUUUUGUAGUACCUGGUCAGGAAGGAAAGGUGUGCAAGUUAUUAAAGUCUUUAUAUGGCCUUAAACAAGCUCCUAAGGAGUGGCAUAAGAAGUUCGAAAGAACAUUAACUGCUGUCGGCUUUGUAGUAAAUGAUGGUGACAAGUGUGUGUACUAUCGCUAUGGUGGGGGCGAAGGAGUUAUUCUUUGUCUGUAUGUCGACGACAUACUGAUCUUUGGAACCAAACUUGAUUUAAUCAAGGAGGUUAAGGAUUUCUUAUCUCGCUGUUUUGAGAUGAAGGAUCUAGGAGUAGCUGAUGUUAUCUUAAACAUCAAGAUGUUGAGACGAGAAUGGUGGGAUCACAUUGCUUCAGACUCACUAUGUGGAAAAGGUCUUGAGUCGUUUUGGGUAUAG